This 500-nucleotide ribosomal RNA is filed under the name uncultured bacterium. Its description in RNAcentral is "partial 16S ribosomal RNA". It matches the Rfam family "Bacterial small subunit ribosomal RNA", at positions 28 to 507 of the family's 1533-position model. The record is from RNAcentral.
GACGAACGCUGGCGGCGUGCCUAAUACAUGCAAGUCGAGCGGACUGAUUAAGAGCUUGCCCUUAUGACGUUAGCGGCGGACGGGUGAGUAACACGUGGGCAACCUGCCCUGUAGAUCGGGAUAACACCGAGAAAUCGGUGCUAAUACCGGGUAAUAUCUGAGAUCACAUGAUCUUAGGUUAAAAGAUGGCUCCGGCUAUCACUACAGGAUAGGCCCGCGGCGCAUUAGCUAGUUGGUAAGGUAAUGGCUUACCAAGGCGACGAUGCGUAGCCGACCUGAGAGGGUGAUCGGCCACACUGGGACUGAGACACGGCCCAGACUCCUACGGGAGGCAGCAGUAGGGAAUCUUCCGCAAUGGACGAAAGUCUGACGGAGCAACGCCGCGUGAGUGAUGAAGGGUUUCGGCUCGUAAAGCUCUGUUGUUAGGGAAGAAACAGUACCGAACGAACUAGGUCGGUACCUUGACGGUACCUAACCAGAAAGCCACGGCUAACUACGUG